Long non-coding RNA from Amblyraja radiata (thorny skate), 1056 nucleotides. RefSeq lists it as uncharacterized. The record is from RefSeq and is a predicted model, not a curated record. The transcript has 2 exons. Lineage: Eukaryota; Metazoa; Chordata; Chondrichthyes; Rajiformes; Rajidae.
CACUAGUAGAAACAUCCUCUCCACAUCCACUCUAUCCAGGCCUUUCACUAUUCGGUAAGUUUCAAUGAGGUCCCCCCUCAUUGAAACAUAAUGAGUUCAUCAUCCUCAUACUCCACGAUACAUAACACUCAAGUUUAAAUCUUCCCCAUAACAACCUGGACAACUUCAGUCUCUGUGGAGACAUUAUCCUGAGUCUAUUGAAAGGCACGUUACAUGCAAGUUUACAGUGGCCUUGGAAUCAUUUUGCAGUUUUGAGCCCAUGCCCGUAAAGAUGUGCACCCCAUAUCCCGGGCCUAGAAUCUGGGAGCCCAGCGUGCUGGAGUAACUCAGCGGGUCAGGCAGCAUCUGUGGAGAACAUGGAUAGGUGACGUUUCUCAUCAGAAUACGGUGCCAGGGAUGACACACUGCCUGCUUUUAUUCAGGAAAUAUUACUUAUUCCAAGUGAACAUCUUCAAUGAGAAACAAUCUUCAACAAAACACAAUCUAUGAAGGCAAUAAACUACCAAGUAUGUUGAAACAAAGAACUGCAGAUAGACACAAAGUGCAGGAGUAACUCAGCGGGUCAUGCAGCAUCUCUGGAGAAUAAGUUACUCCAGGACUUUGUGUCUAUCUUUGGUAGCUACUACACAUGCAUGACCUCAGUACACGGGUACACACGCGUGUACCAUCACUUCACACAUGCCCAUUGUUCCUGCCAAUAGCUGCAAUAUUUUGCAGCCUCUUGUGCUCAGACAAUCUAUCCAGGGUCAAUGAUCAGAGUGCGGUGUCAGGGCUGACGCAAUACCCACCUUAAUUCACCAAUAUUACUUACACUAAGUAAACAUCUUUAUUGAGAAACAUCCCACGACAAAACAGACGUAAUGUACGACCAUUGGAAUAUUGAAUGAAGAAGAUUGAAAGUUAUUGGACACGUACAGUCUGUGAAAAGACAAUGUUUGUCAUGAUUGUCACUACUGAAAUUUGUUGUGGAUUUAUGUGCAUUUUUUUUGGCUUUAAAAUAACUUUUGUUAUUGUAUUGGUAAAAAGCAUUUGAAUUAAAAACAAAUAUUUUAAAGA